GGUCCCGUAGCGUAGUUUGUUAUCACACCAGUCUAACAUAGUGGCGGUCUUUGGUUCGAGUUCGCCUGAAAUCA
Tuber magnatum (white Piedmont truffle) is the source of this 74-nucleotide non-coding RNA. NCBI's taxonomy places the organism in Eukaryota, Fungi, Ascomycota, Pezizomycetes, Pezizales, Tuberaceae. The record is from the annotation of a GenBank genome assembly.